Molecule: ribosomal RNA, 598 nt
Filed under: Salmonella enterica subsp. enterica serovar Enteritidis
Lineage: Bacteria; Pseudomonadati; Pseudomonadota; Gammaproteobacteria; Enterobacterales; Enterobacteriaceae
Description: partial 23S ribosomal RNA
Rfam family: Bacterial large subunit ribosomal RNA
Source: RNAcentral
GAAACCGAGUCUUAAUUGGGCGUUAAGUUGCAGGGUAUAGACCCGAAACCCGGUGAUCUAGCCAUGGGCAGGUUGAAGGUUGGGUAACACUAACUGGAGGACCGAACCGACUAAUGUUGAAAAAUUAGCGGAUGACCUGUGGCUGGGGGUGAAAGGCCAAUCAAACCGGGAGAUAGCUGGUUCUCCCCGAAAGCUAUUUAGGUAGCGCCUCGUGAAUUCAUCUCCGGGGGUAGAGCACUGUUUCGGCUAGGGGGCCAUCCCGGCUUACCAACCCGAUGCAAACUGCGAAUACCGGAGAAUGUUAUCACGGGAGACACACGGCGGGUGCUAACGUCCGUCGUGAAGAGGGAAACAACCCAGACCGCCAGCUAAGGUCCCAAAGUCAUGGUUAAGUGGGAAACGAUGUGGGAAGGCCCAGACAGCCAGGAUGUUGGCUUAGAAGCAGCCAUCAUUUAAAGAAAGCGUAAUAGCUCACUGGUCGAGUCGGCCUGCGCGGAAGAUGUAACGGGGCUAAACCAUGCACCGAAGCUGCGGCAGCGACGCUUAUGCGUUGUUGGGUAGGGGAGCGUUCUGUAAGCCUGCGAAGGUGGCCUGUGAG